GCACCCGUAGCUCAGCUGGAUAGAGUACCUGGCUACGAACCAGGCGGUCGGAGGUUCGAAUCCUUCCGGGUGCGCCA
This 77-nucleotide transfer RNA is filed under the name Pseudomonadota bacterium. RNAcentral's name for it is "Proteobacteria bacterium tRNA-Arg". It matches the Rfam family "tRNA". From Rfam's summary of the family: Transfer RNA (tRNA) molecules are approximately 80 nucleotides in length. Their secondary structure includes four short double-helical elements and three loops (D, anti-codon, and T loops). RNAcentral also lists the same sequence under 3 other names. Lineage: Bacteria; Pseudomonadati; Pseudomonadota. The record is from RNAcentral.